Molecule: unclassified non-coding RNA, 338 nt
Filed under: soil metagenome
Description: partial contains 5.8S ribosomal RNA, internal transcribed spacer 2, and large subunit ribosomal RNA
Rfam family: 5.8S ribosomal RNA (bases 1-120)
Source: RNAcentral
GAUGAAGAACGUAGCGAAAUGCGAUACGUAGUGUGAAUUGCAGAAUUCAGUGAAUCAUCGAAUCUUUGAACGCACAUUGCGCCCUUUGGUAUUCCAAAGGGCAUGCCUGUUCGAGCGUCAUUUGUACCCUCAAGCUUUGCUUGGUGUUGGGCGUCUUGUCUCCAGUCCGCUGGAGACUCGCCUUAAAGUCAUUGGCAGCCGGCCUACUGGUUUCGGAGCGCAGCACAAGUCGCACUCUUUUCCAGCCAAGGUCAGUGUCCAACAAGCCUUUUUUCAACUUUUGACCUCGCAUCAGGUAGGGAUACCCGCUGAACUUAAGCAUAUCAAUAAGCGGAGGA